UUUCCCUCAGGAUAGCUGGCACUCGCUUGAGCGAGUCUCAUCUGGUAAAGCGAAUGAUUAGAGGCCUUGGGGCCGAAACGACCUCAACCUAUUCUCAAACUUUAAAUGGGUGAGAUCUCUGGCUUGCUUGAACGUUGAAGCCACGAGAUAAUAAUUGAAAUGCAAUGGAUCAGAGUGCCAAGUGGGCCAAUUUUGGUAAGCAGAACUGGCGCUGUGGGA
This 219-nucleotide ribosomal RNA is filed under the name Parastypiura pulchripennis. RNAcentral's name for it is "partial 28S ribosomal RNA". It matches the Rfam family "Eukaryotic large subunit ribosomal RNA", at positions 967 to 1163 of the family's 3401-position model. Lineage: Eukaryota; Metazoa; Arthropoda; Insecta; Hymenoptera; Chalcididae. The record is from RNAcentral.